This is a long non-coding RNA of Brachypodium distachyon (stiff brome), 459 nucleotides long. RefSeq lists it as uncharacterized. The transcript has 2 exons. The record is from RefSeq and is a predicted model, not a curated record. NCBI's taxonomy places the organism in Eukaryota, Viridiplantae, Streptophyta, Magnoliopsida, Poales, Poaceae.
GCCCUCUCUAUGCAUACAAUGUUAGUUGCCGCAGUGUGCAAUUAGGAGUCAUAUCUCCAUGCUUUCAUUCCGUAGGUGCGAUAGCUUUUACUGAUCGCGUCAUAGACAAUCUAAAUUGUUUUGUCUAAGGUUGUUUAGACUGGAAGUGAUUUGUUGGCUUGCUUGAAUUGUUUGGAGGGGCCACCAGAACCUGGGUUAAGAGCUAAACAUAGAUGGGACCUUUAUUGCGGAAUGUGGGCGACUAGGCAAGCGAGUAUUGGGAUAGCCGGGUGAAAGUGUGCCAUAUCAGAACUUCAGAAGGGAGUGUAAUAUAGUAGCUCAUGAUUUGGCUAAGCAAACAUGUCGGGGGAGUCAAUUUGGUGUGUGGUUAUUGCAUGUACUACCAGUAUUGUUCCUGUUGUGCUUAGCGAUUGUAAUGAAACUGAUUUCCAUAAUUUAUAAAGCAUUUUCCUUCUCUCA